This 497-nucleotide ribosomal RNA is filed under the name uncultured bacterium. RNAcentral describes it as "partial 16S ribosomal RNA". It matches the Rfam family "Bacterial small subunit ribosomal RNA", at positions 28 to 507 of the family's 1533-position model. The record is from RNAcentral.
GAUGAACGCUGGCGGCGUGCCUAAUACAUGCAAGUCGAGCGAACAGACGAGGAGCUUGCUCCUCUGACGUUAGCGGCGGACGGGUGAGUAACACGUGGAUAACCUACCUAUAAGACUGGGAUAACUUCGGGAAACCGGAGCUAAUACCGGAUAAUAUAUUGAACCGCAUGGUUCAAUAGUGAAAGACGGUUUUGCUGUCACUUAUAGAUGGAUCCGCGCCGCAUUAGCUAGUUGGUAAGGUAACGGCUUACCAAGGCAACGAUGCGUAGCCGACCUGAGAGGGUGAUCGGCCCCACUGGAACUGAGACACGGUCAAGACUCCUACGGGAGGCAGAAGUAGGGAAUCUUCCGCAAUGGGCGAAAGCCUGACGGAGCAACGCCGCGUGAGUGAUGAAGGUCUUCGGAUCGUAAAACUCUGUUAUUAGGGAAGAACAAAUGUGUAAGUAACUAUGCACGUCUUGACGGUACCUAAUCAGAAAGCCACGGCUAACUACGUG